AACACUGUUAACCUGCGGUACCUGCGGAGGGAUCAUUACAGAGUGUAAAAACUCCCAAACCCCUGUGAACGUACCUGUCGUUGCUUCGGCGGAUCGCCCCGGGCGCUGCAAGGUGCCCCGGAGUCAGGCGCCCGCCGGAGGACCACAAACUCUUGUUUUAUACCGGAAUUCUCUGAGUGGCAUGUCUCAUGCAAAAACAAAAUGAAUCAAAACUUUCAACAACGGAUCUCAGAUCGGAAG
This 240-nucleotide unclassified non-coding RNA is filed under the name soil metagenome. RNAcentral describes it as "partial contains 5.8S ribosomal RNA, internal transcribed spacer 2, and large subunit ribosomal RNA". The record is from RNAcentral.